GAUGAACGCUGGCGGCGUGCCUAAUACAUGCAAGUCGAGCGAACAGACGAGGAGCUUGCUCCUCUGACGUUAGCGGCGGACGGGUGAGUAACACGUGGAUAACCUCCCUAUAAGACUGGGAUAACUUCGGGAAACCGGAGCUAAUACCGGAUAAUAUAUUGAACCGCAUGGUUCAAUAGUGAAAGACGGUUUUGCUGUCACUUAUAGAUGGAUCCGCGCCGCAUUAGCUAGUUGGUAAGGUAACGGCUUACCAAGGCAACGAUGCGUAGCCGACCUGAGAGAGUGAUAGGCCACACUGGAACUGAGACACGGUCCAGACUCCUAAGGGAGGCAGCAGUAGGGAAUCUUACGCAAUGGGCGAAAGCCUGACGGAGCAACGCCGCGUGAGUGAUGAAGGUCUUCGGAUCGUAAAACUCUGUUAUUAGGGAAGAACAAAUGUGUAAGUAACUAUGCACGUCUUGACGGUACCUAAUCAGAAAGCCACGGCUAACUACGUG
This 497-nucleotide ribosomal RNA is filed under the name uncultured bacterium. Its description in RNAcentral is "partial 16S ribosomal RNA". It matches the Rfam family "Bacterial small subunit ribosomal RNA", at positions 28 to 507 of the family's 1533-position model. The record is from RNAcentral.